RNAcentral lists this long non-coding RNA (253 nucleotides) under Anas platyrhynchos platyrhynchos (common mallard). Its description in RNAcentral is "lncRNA (ENSAPLG00000027150.1)". Lineage: Eukaryota; Metazoa; Chordata; Aves; Anseriformes; Anatidae. The record is from RNAcentral.
CUCCGCUGAAGAAGGGCCCCGGGGGGCUGAUCGGGCUGAUGAAGGACGCCUUCCAGCCCCACCACCACCACCUCGGCCCCCACCAGCCCGGCGCCGUGGAUAAGAAGAUGGUGGAGAAGUGCUGGAAGCUGAUGGACAAGGAAAUCCCGGCGAGCGCUUGGUUUGUUUGGGAUCCUGGCGUUAUUUAUGGAGCGACCCGGGGAACGAGCAUCCAGAAAGGAGCAGAAACGUAAAAAUCUUCUGUUUUCCCCUC